GCAUUUUUAGUUUCUGGAAGGAAUUACUUAAUAUUUAGUUACUCAAUCAAGACAUGCUGCAAGCACGGAGGUUAAAGUUACAAUGCCUAAGAAGAUAGCCUCUUUCACAUUUUAAGUUCAUGCUGUAGCAAAAACAUGAAACAGCACGAAGAAAAUAGCCUCUUUCACAUUUAAGUUCAUGCUGUAGCAAAAACAUGAAACAGCAGCCAGUGAACCAAUAAUGCGUUUUGCAUGAAACCAGCAGCGACUGAACCAAUAAUGCUGUUUGAAUUCUAAAUGCACGUUAUUACUAAUACAGUUUGAGGCACAUUUGCCAGAAUAACAACUAUUUUUCUUUUUUAUCGCAGUGUCAUAGAGGUAAUUGUCAUUGGUAGGAUAGUUAAAAAUCGCAAGAACAACCAUAGAAAUAUAAAAGGACAUAAAAAAGUGCGAGAAAAAUCAGAUAAUUUCUAACAAUUGAUAGCAUAUAACUUUCAGGCAUCAUUAUCAUGUUCACUGGAGUAGAUAAUUCCAAUAAAAUAGUUGUCGCUUCUUGAAUAUAUUCCCUCUUUAAAAGCACUUAAAUAAAAAUCAUAUAAAAGUGGGAGCAGCAAUGAUAGCACUCUGGCAGUAAGGAAAUGAUAUUCAGAAACGUGGGGUAGCAAGAGUGGGGUUAUGGUGAAAAUAUGCUCAUCAAAGAGGAGAGAAAGCAAACAGUAAGCAACAACAGCUUACUUCUACUUCAAUGCUCUACCAGCAUCCCCAAUAAAAAUUAUACCAGGAUAGAAAGUACAACAUGAUCUUAUUUUUAGUCUUCCCAGGUGAUAAUGGAUGGGCUUGUUUAAUUCUAAUAAUCACGAUUCAUAAGAAUAUGGAAAGUGGAAUAGUUGCAACUCAAUGGGAUGCAUAGUUUGGAACAAAGAAAAAAAAAC
RNAcentral lists this long non-coding RNA (911 nucleotides) under Nicotiana benthamiana. RNAcentral describes it as "long non-coding RNA (NBEN_LNC016599)". The record is from RNAcentral. Lineage: Eukaryota; Viridiplantae; Streptophyta; Magnoliopsida; Solanales; Solanaceae.